Molecule: ribosomal RNA, 506 nt
Filed under: uncultured bacterium
Lineage: Bacteria
Description: bacterial SSU rRNA
Rfam family: Bacterial small subunit ribosomal RNA
Source: RNAcentral
UUCUGGCUCAGGAUGAACGCUAGCGGCAGGCUUAACACAUGCAAGUCGAGGGGCAGCGGGUCCAGCAAUGGAUGCCGGCGACCGGCGAAAGGGUGAGUAACGCGUGAGCAACGUGCCCGUCUGAGGGGGGAUAGUCAUUGGAAACGAUGCGUAAUACCCCGUAACAACAUUUACCGCAUGGUGAAUGUUUGAAAGAUUUAUUGCAGACGGAUCGGCUCGCGUACCAUUAGCUAGUUGGCGGGGUAACGGCCCACCAAGGCAACGAUGGUUAGGGGUUCUGAGAGGAAGGUCCCCCACAUUGGAACUGAGACACGGUCCAGACUCCUACGGGAGGCAGCAGUGAGGAAUAUUGGACAAUGGCCGGGAGGCUGAUCCAGCCAUGCCGCGUGCGGGAAGACGGCCCUAUGGGUUGUAAACCGCUUUUGUCGGGGAGCAAUAAGUAGUACGCGUACUACGAUGAGAGUACCUGGCGAAUAAGCAUCGGCUAACUCCGUGCCAGCCGCGGC